CAUUCCAAUACUCAAACAAAAAGGCAGUGGCAUUUCCGUAAUAAAUGAAUCAGACAAUGCUUGCGUUACUCAUCACUUUUCACCGUCAUCAUUCAUCCUUCUUCUUCUUCUUCAACCACCACCAACUUCCUCCGGUUAUCCUUCUGCCUAUAAAUUUACCCACGCCGGUCAAUUACAGUGCCUUGCCUUUUCUUUUCCUUCUCUGAAAGGAAAAGAAGAAGAAUUGUUUGGUUACUGAGAGUAUAUGUUUUUUUUUUUUUUUUUUUUGCUCAUGGGUUUUUCUUUUCUUCUUUAAGUUUUUUUUUUUUUUUUAAACAAAAGUUCUUUCCUUUUUGAGAAAAUUAUACAUCUUUAAAGCACAAUGAUGAUUCUGAGUAUCAAUUUGAGUGGAGGAGGACAUGGGUGUGCUUCUUUUCCAUCCUCUGCUACUUCAACUUUUAAACCCAGGAAGAAAAUACAAGUGAUAAGAGUAGAAAAGGCAACAAAUUCAGUCUCAGAUUCUAAAACAAAGAAAGCAAAUCUUUCAGCUGCAAGGAAAGAAAGGAUUAAGCUGCCAAAUUAUGGAGAUGGGUUUGGGGAUAAGACAUUUCAUAUUAGAGAAUUUCUAAGCCAACCAUCUGGCAUCGAGGCCAUGUUAAAUACUAGUGCCUUGAAAAGUUUCCAAUCCAUUGAUGCUAACAAUUACAGGAAAUGUGAAGAAUGCUUUCCAUGGAUACCAACACUUACAGAUCCUCGUACUUUCCUACUUCUUUGUUGGAUUUCCAUGUGCACUCUGCAAAAAGUUCAAUUUUUAAACUUUGAAGCAGCCCCAGUGCUGGACUUACGAGUAACCCAAACAAUAGAAAAUUGUACUGUUGAGAUGCUUUCUUGUAAGUUUGAGGGUUCAGAAAUCUUGGAACAACAAAACAACCAUUUCUCAGCAUUCAUGGUAAAUCACAUGACAUGGGACAGAGAUGAUUUGGAAUCAUAUUUGGAGGUUGACGUAAAACUGAAUCUGACAUUAGAGAUCUACACACGCCCUUUUACCAUGAUGCCGGCAUCAGCAGUUGAGCGUCCCGGAAAUUUAAUGAUGCAAGCUUUGGUGGAUAGGCUAGUACCAUUGCUUAUGCAACAAUUACUGCAAGAUUAUGGCAAAUGGGUUCACCAGCAGUUAGAUCAUUUGGCAUGAUGGUUCUUCAUUUAUACAGUGGAACACCCCCAACCCCUUACCUCUCUAGAAGAAAGAAGAUAUGUUAUUAUAUGUUAAGAAAGAAGAUCAUUUACCUUACAUUUGGACAGAAAUUAACCAUUCUGAAAUUUUAGCUGGUUUCAAUUUAUGGUGCCAACGGAUUGGAGGGUGACUCUGAAUUUAUGCACCAUUGUGAACCUCCCAAGUGUAAUUUACUGAAUGACUUCCAUGCCCAAAUUUCUUGAUUGCCAUGGAGUUUUUGCAUUCUUGAAGCCACUGAUUCUUACCGGUUUAUGUUUUGGCAUUGUAUGGUUUAGCAUUCUUUUAUCAUAAUUUUUUGGUUCAUAGAUUGUCUUUAAAUAUUAAACCAUUGAUUGUAACAUGCAGUCAAGUUGGCAUCCUUUUAGGUUCUUGAACAAAGCUUCUUGUCUGUAUUAUUGUAAUUAAACCUCCCAUUAUAUUUACUUCAAAAAAGACGAACUUUAUUUAUUAUUAUUAUUAUUAUUAUUUUUC
This is an RNA transcript of Ziziphus jujuba (common jujube), 1681 nucleotides long. RefSeq lists it as uncharacterized. The record is from RefSeq and is a predicted model, not a curated record. Lineage: Eukaryota; Viridiplantae; Streptophyta; Magnoliopsida; Rosales; Rhamnaceae. The transcript is spliced from 10 exons.